GAUGAAUGCUGGCGGCGUGCCUAACACAUGCAAGUCGAGCGGCAGCGCGGGGUGCUUGCACCCUGUCGGCGAGCGGCGAACGGCUGAGUAACGCGUAGGAAUUUGCCCCAAAGUGAGGAAUAACUGCCCGAAAGGGUAGCUAAUGCCGCAUAUGGUCUUCGGAUUAAAGGAUUUAUCCGCUUUGGGAGAAGCCUGCGUUGGAUUAGGUUGUUGGUAGGGUAAUGGCCUACCAAGCCGACGACCCAUAGCUGGUCUGAGAGGAUGAUCAGCCAGACUGGAACUGAGACACGGUCCAGACUCCUACGGGAGGCAGCAGUGAGGAAUCUUCCACAAUGGGCGAAAGCCUGAUGGAGCAACGCCGCGUGAAGGAUGAAGGCCUUCGGGUUGUAAACUUCUUUUAUGAGUGAAGAAUAUGACGGUAACUCAUGAAUAAGCACCGGCUAACUACGUG
This 451-nucleotide ribosomal RNA is filed under the name uncultured bacterium. RNAcentral describes it as "partial 16S ribosomal RNA". It matches the Rfam family "Bacterial small subunit ribosomal RNA", at positions 28 to 507 of the family's 1533-position model. The record is from RNAcentral.